This 492-nucleotide ribosomal RNA is filed under the name uncultured bacterium. RNAcentral's name for it is "partial 16S ribosomal RNA". It matches the Rfam family "Bacterial small subunit ribosomal RNA", at positions 29 to 507 of the family's 1533-position model. The record is from RNAcentral.
AGUGAACGCUGGCGGUAGGCCUAACACAUGCAAGUCGAACGGCAGCACAGUAAGAGCUUGCUCUUACGGGUGGCGAGUGGCGGACGGGUGAGGAAUACAUCGGAAUCUACUUUUUCGUGGGGGAUAACGUAGGGAAACUUACGCUAAUACCGCAUACGACCUACGGGUGAAAGCAGGGGAUCUUCGGACCUUGCGCGAUUGAAUGAGCCGAUGUCGGAUUAGCUAGUUGGCGGGGUAAAGGCCCACCAAGGCGACGAUCCGUAGCUGGUCUGAGAGGAUGAUCAGGCAAACUGGAACUGAGACACGGUCCAGACUCCUACGGGAGGCAGCAGUGGGGAAUAUUGGACAAUGGGCGCAAGCCUGAUCCAGCCAUAACGCGUGGGUGAAGAAGGCCUUCGGGUUGUAAAGCCCUUUUGUUGGGAAAGAAAAGCAGCAGGUUAAUACCCCGCUGUUCUGACGGUACCCAAAGAAUAAGCACCGGCUAACUUCGUG